CCAAUAGCGUAUAUUAAAGUUGUUGCAGUUAAAAAGCUCGUAGUUGAACUUCGGGGUUCACCCAUUGGUCAGGCUUAAUUGUCUGUACUGGUGAGAUGAGUCUCUACCUUCUGAGGAACUUUCAUGCCAUUUAUUUGGUGUGGUUGGAAAUCAGGACUGUUACUUUGAAAAAAUUAGAGUGUUUAAAGCAGGCUAACGUCUGAAUACAUUAGCAUGGAAUAAUGAAAUAGGACGGAUUGAUUCUAUUUCGUUGGUUUCUAGGGUCACCGUAAUGAUUAAUUGGGAUAGUUGGGGGCAUUAGUAUUCAAUUGUCAGAGGUGAAAUUCUUGGAUUUAUUGAAGACUAACUACUGCGAAAGCAUUUGCCAAGGAUGUUUUCAUUAAUCAAGAACGAAAGUUAGGGGAUCGAAGACGAUCAGAUACCGUCGUAGUCUUAACCAUAAACUAUGCCGACUAGGGAUCGGACGCAGUUAAUUUUAUAAUGACGUGUUCGGCACCUUACG
RNAcentral lists this ribosomal RNA (502 nucleotides) under uncultured Glomus. Its description in RNAcentral is "SSU rRNA". It matches the Rfam family "Eukaryotic small subunit ribosomal RNA", at positions 591 to 1092 of the family's 1831-position model. Lineage: Eukaryota; Fungi; Glomeromycota; Glomeromycetes; Glomerales; Glomeraceae. The record is from RNAcentral.